GCCGUUAAGUCUUGACGAGUAAGAGGGUCGCGACGGUGAGCGCAGAAGGGUCAGGGCGAGAGCCUGCCUGGAGCCGCCGUUGGUGCAGAUCUUGGUGGUAGUAGCAAAUACUCUAGCGAGGGCCUGGAGGACUGACGUGGAGAAGGGUUUCUUGUGAACAGCCGUUGCACAAGAGUCAGUCGACCCUGAGCCCUAGGAGAAAUCCGAUGACGAUGGGUGGCUUGACAACAACAAUCCACAGACUGUUUUUAGCGUAGACUCUGUUGUCGUGUGUUUGCUGCUUGUAUACACACACUACUUGCCAGUAGUUGUGUUGUGGCUGCACUGACCAAAAGUUGACACUAAACAGCUCCUAUCGGGCAAAAGGGAAUCCGGUUCCUAUUCCGGAACCCGGCUGCGUAACCGCUACUUUGCGGGCACUUGCUUGCGAGCGCUCGUCGGGGUAACCCAAACUGGCCUGGAGACGCCGGCGGGGGGUCUGGAAAGAGUUUUCUUUUCUUUAUAAGCGUUCGAGUACCCUGGAAUCCUAUAGCAGGGAGAUAGGGUUUGGAACGCGAAGAGCACCGCAGUUGCGGCGGUGUUCGGACCUUCCCCCCGGACCUUGAAAAUCCAGGUGAGGGCCACGCGGAAGUCGCGCCGG
RNAcentral lists this ribosomal RNA (640 nucleotides) under Luda dianica. Its description in RNAcentral is "eukaryotic LSU rRNA". It matches the Rfam family "Eukaryotic large subunit ribosomal RNA", at positions 1363 to 1840 of the family's 3401-position model. Lineage: Eukaryota; Metazoa; Arthropoda; Insecta; Hemiptera; Delphacidae. The record is from RNAcentral.